AUACGGAGGGUGCAAGCGUUAAUCGGAAUUACUGGGCGUAAAGCGCGCGUAGGCGGCUCAGUCAGUCGGAUGUGAAAGCCCCGGGCUCAACCUGGGAAUUGCAUUCGAUACUGCUGAGCUAGAGUAUGGAAGAGGGAAGUGGAAUUCCGGGUGUAGCGGUGAAAUGCGUAGAUAUCAGGAGGAACACCUGUGGCGAAGGCGGCUGUCUGGUCCGUUACUGACGCUGAGGCUCGAAAGCGUGGGGAGCGAACGGGAUUAGAAACCCCAGUAGUCC
RNAcentral lists this ribosomal RNA (274 nucleotides) under uncultured bacterium. RNAcentral describes it as "partial 16S ribosomal RNA". It matches the Rfam family "Bacterial small subunit ribosomal RNA", at positions 523 to 796 of the family's 1533-position model. The record is from RNAcentral.